Molecule: long non-coding RNA, 1138 nt
Filed under: Sus scrofa (pig)
Lineage: Eukaryota; Metazoa; Chordata; Mammalia; Artiodactyla; Suidae
Description: lncRNA (ENSSSCG00005020006.1)
Source: RNAcentral
GUUCACACUGUUUAUUCGCUUCUCUGGGAAAGUCGGGAACACGGGGCCUCGUCACACAUCGAAAGCGUAGGGGCGGCAAGGGCACUUCAGCGGAGGCUCACAGCUCGAGGAAGGGGGCGGACUAGGGGGGGCCACGGCCACCGCGCAGGGGCACUUCCGAGAGGCCUCUCCCCCAGCCGCCCAGGGGCGGGGCUGAGACGGGGACCCAGGCUGCGGUCCAGGGCGGGCCCCCGCACCCACCCUAGGGAGGCGGGCGUGGCCUGGGUUCUGGGCACUACAGGCCCCGAGGGGGGGGCCUGCUCAUCACGGCCCACGCGGGAGAGGGUCUGCGAACGCUUGCGUGCGCCAACGGGCCUCUUGGGUGUGGCUGCAGCCAGGGAGACGUGCACAUCCGGGUGUCAGCCGCCCCUGGAAGGGGCGCCCUCGCCCCUUCCAGUGAUGGGGGGCAGGCACACAUCAGGCUGCGCAGCCAAUGGGGGGCUCCGGCUACCACCCGGGGAAGCUCCCCGCCCCGGGCCAGGUGACCCUCCCCACCACCUGGAACUCGCCAAGCCCAGCAGAGCUGGCGGGGGGCCUCGUCUCUGGGGUAGGGUUAGCAGGACCCAGGACCCCGGUUCAAGCAGGCUGGGGAAGGGGGCCAUGGCGCUCCCCCAGGCUCCCUGAAUUAGCACCAGGAGGAAGGAGGGCCCAGUGGGAUUGGGAGCUCAGGAACAGGGGCUCACAUGGCCCAGCCUCGCUCAGGAGGCAGCUCAAGACUCCCGGCCCAGCCCCGGGGGGGUAGGGGUGGGGGGGGUGUCACAACCCUCCCGCGUUGGGGGAGCGUCUCCAGGCUCCAUCAUCCACCGGCUGCGCUCAAAGAGGGCGUGGGGAGAGGGGCCCAUCAGGCGGGCGGGGGGUGGGUACCGAGGGGGGUCCCGACUGCAUUCCAAGACCUUGAGCCCCGCCCCUGGAGGCAAGCCUCUGCUCUGCUGCCUGAGAUACAGACCGGGGACCUCGGCCAGGGACCCCACCUCCGGGGCUACGGCCCCAGAACCCCUGGCUCUCAGGAUCCCCUCCGGCGGGGGACCCCUCAGGGACCUCAUUGGAGGUGGCAGGAAGGCACAGGCAGGAGGCCCAGAGGGUGGUGGGCUGGUUGGGG